RNAcentral lists this ribosomal RNA (710 nucleotides) under Peronospora sanguisorbae. Its description in RNAcentral is "LSU rRNA". It matches the Rfam family "Eukaryotic large subunit ribosomal RNA", at positions 81 to 628 of the family's 3401-position model. The record is from RNAcentral. Lineage: Eukaryota; Oomycota; Peronosporomycetes; Peronosporales; Peronosporaceae.
UAGUAACGGCGAGUGAAGCGGGAUGAGCUCAAGCUUAAAAUCUCCGUACAAGUUUUGUAUGGCGAAUUGUAGUCUAUAGAGGCGUGGUCAGUGUGGGCACUUGGGGUAAGUUCCUUGGAAGAGGACAGCAUGGAGGGUGAUACUCCCGUUUAUCCCUGAGUGGCUCGUGCGUACGACCCGUUUUCUUUGAGUCGCGUUGUUUGGGAAUGCAGCGCAAAGUAGGUGGUAAAUUCCAUCUAAAGCUAAAUAUUGGUGCGAGACCGAUAGCAUACAAGUACCGUGAGGGAAAGAUGAAAAGAACUUUGAAAAGAGAGUUAAAGAGUACCUGAAACUGCUGAAAGGGAACCGAAUCGUUUCCAGUGUCUAUAAUCCGUGACAUAUUUCAUUGGCGAGUGUGUGCGUGCGUGUGCUAUGGCAGCGGCUUUUUUGGCUGCGCUUGGCGUGUGUGCUGUGUGUGCUUGCUGGUGCCCUGUGCUGCGGUGGGACGUCAAUGAGAGUUCGUAUACUGCGGGAAAUGACUGCCGAGGAGGUAGGGCUUACGCUUGCGUUUGUCUGUUAUAUCUUGGUGGACGAGUAGUCGCGGUUGGGACUGAGGUGCCUACAACGUGCUUUUGAGUGGGUUCGUGUCUCCGUGUGCGCCGUGUGCAGAUAGCUUGCUAUGUGUGUGUGGUGGUGUGUGGAUUGAAGCGAGCCUUAACUUGUUGCCGUUC